GAUAGAGGCCUACCAUGGUGGUAACGGGUAACGGGGUGUUAGGGCACGACACCGGAGAGGGAGCCUGAGAAACGGCUACCACAUCCAAGGAUGGCAGCAGGCGCGCAAAUUACCCAAUCCCGACACGGGGAGGUAGUGACAAUAAAUAACAAUACGGGGUUCUUUCGGAUCUCGUAAUUGGAAUGGGUACAAUUUAAAUCUCUUAACGAGGAACAAUUGGAGGGCAAGUCUGGUGCCAGCAGCCGCGGUAAUUCCAGCUCCAAUAGCGUAUAUUAAAGUUGUUGCAGUUAAAAAGCUCGUAGUUGAAUUUCGGGGUUAGUAGGUUGGUCAUGCCUCUGGUAUGUACUGGUCUCACUGAUUCCUCCUUCCUGAUGAACCGUAAUGCCAUUAAUUUGGUGUUGCGGGGAAUUUGGACUGUUACUUUGAAAAAAUUAGAGUGUUUAAAGCAAGCUAACGCUUGAAUACAUUAGCAUGGAAUAAUGAAAUAGGACGUUCGAUCCUAUUUUGUUGGUUUCUAGGAUUGACGUAAUGAUUAAUAGGGAUAGUUGGGGGCAUUAGUAUUCAAUUGUCAGAGGUGAAAUUCUUGGAUUUAUUGAGGACUAACUACUGCGAAAGCAUUUGCCAAGGAUGUUUUCAUUAAUCAAGAACGAAAGUUAGGGGAUCGAAGACGAUCAGAUGCCGUCGUAGUCUUAACCAUAAACUAUGCCGACUAGGGAUCGGA
RNAcentral lists this ribosomal RNA (721 nucleotides) under uncultured fungus. RNAcentral describes it as "SSU rRNA". It matches the Rfam family "Eukaryotic small subunit ribosomal RNA", at positions 332 to 1057 of the family's 1831-position model. Lineage: Eukaryota; Fungi. The record is from RNAcentral.